AUACGUAGGGUGCAAGCGUUAAUCGGAAUUACUGGGCGUAAAGCGUGCGCAGGCGGUUUUGUAAGACAGAGGUGAAAUCCCCGGGCUCAACCUGGGAACUGCCUUUGUGACUGCAAGGCUAGAGUACGGCAGAGGGGGAUGGAAUUCCGCGUGUAGCAGUGAAAUGCGUAGAUAUGCGGAGGAACACCGAUGGCGAAGGCAAUCCCCUGGGCCUGUACUGACGCUCAUGCGCGAAAGCGUGGGGAGCAAACAGGAUUAGAUACCCUGGUGGUCCACGCACUAAGCGAUGUCGACGGGGUGUUGGGUCUUCAGUGUCUCAGUACCGAAGCUAACGCGUGAAGUUGACAGCCUGGGGAGUACGGCCGCAAGGUUGAAACUCAAAUGAAUUGACGGUG
Molecule: ribosomal RNA, 395 nt
Filed under: uncultured bacterium
Lineage: Bacteria
Description: partial 16S ribosomal RNA
Rfam family: Bacterial small subunit ribosomal RNA
Source: RNAcentral